RNAcentral lists this ribosomal RNA (445 nucleotides) under uncultured bacterium. Its description in RNAcentral is "partial 16S ribosomal RNA". It matches the Rfam family "Bacterial small subunit ribosomal RNA", at positions 354 to 796 of the family's 1533-position model. The record is from RNAcentral.
GUGAGGAAUAUUGCGCAAUGGAGGCAACUCUGACGCAGCCAUGCCGCGUGCAGGAAGAAGGCGCUACGCGUUGUAAACUGCUUUUAACCGGGAAGAAACCCCAGGACGUGUCCUGGGUUGACGGUACCGGAGGAAUAAGCACCGGCUAACUUCGUGCCAGCAGCCGCGGUAAUACGAAGGGUGCAAGCGUUAUCCGGAUUCAUUGGGUUUAAAGGGUGCGUAGGCGGAGCGUUAAGUCAGUGGUGAAAUCCUGCAGCUUAACUGUAGACUUGCCAUUGAUACUGGCGCUCUUGAGUGCGCUUGAAGUGGGCGGAAUGUGCCGUGUAGCGGUGAAAUGAUUAGAUAUGGCACAGAACAACAAUUGCGAAGGCAGCUCACUAAGGCGAUACUGACGCUGAGGCACGAAAGCGUGGGGAUCGAACAGGAUUAGAUACCCGUGUAGUCC